Theobroma umbraticum is the source of this 174-nucleotide long non-coding RNA. RefSeq lists it as uncharacterized. NCBI's taxonomy places the organism in Eukaryota, Viridiplantae, Streptophyta, Magnoliopsida, Malvales, Malvaceae. The record is from RefSeq and is a predicted model, not a curated record.
CAGCAGAAGAGGAGGGAGGACAUGCUGUAAUUCAAUCUUCCCAGUCUCCUUUAUCAUCUACAGUGGAAGACCAGGACCAGUAAACAGGAAAUACAGAGUGAUUUGCGUGCCACAAAGUGGAAGAAGCUGCCAGCUUCUGUCAUACCUUCCGUUACUCAGGCAAUACCGGAGAAG